UAUUUGCAUACACCAAGUCGUCAAAAUGGGAUCACACUUUUUAGAGUGCUAUAAAUAUGUAAUUCAAUAAAACCAAACCUGCUGGCUGGGAGUACAACCUUUUUAAUUCCAGUUGCCCGACCCGCCGCAGGCACGCAGGACUAUUUGUGACCGCAAAUAUGAUGGCAAAUUGCCACUUUGCAGCACCAACAGGCAAACCCGAAAACCUCAAAAUCCCCAAAAGCCCCAGAACCCAAAUAGGAGUUCUUCGGAAGGAGCCAGCACUCCCCGAACAACCGACCAUGCCACAGCAUCCGGUUGGUGCUGGAAACGCUGCUGGGGCACUUAGAAUUUAGCCUGCAAUUUAAGCAAUUAUCGUUGAAGCUGGCCCAGCAUUAGGCUUUCAGGACUUGACAUGUGCCCUCUCUAACACCGAUCUGGCAGGAUGUUGGUUCUGAAAGCACGUCCCUGUGUGUGUGUGGGCUUCCUGUCUCGGAUGGCUAUUAUUAUUGCAGCUUGUUUUUACAAGGAUUGCAAUGUAAGUCUCAGCCGUCCCCUCCUCUUCGCUCUUUUAUUUUGCCAUAUGCUUGGCGAUUAUGUUUCGGACAUUGUACAUGAAUAUUUUGCUUGUUUAAUUAAGAGUGAAAAUUGCUGGUAUUAUA
This 641-nucleotide small RNA is filed under the name Drosophila yakuba. Its description in RNAcentral is "GE27383". Lineage: Eukaryota; Metazoa; Arthropoda; Insecta; Diptera; Drosophilidae. The record is from RNAcentral.